Molecule: transfer RNA, 72 nt
Filed under: Streptomyces albospinus
Lineage: Bacteria; Bacillati; Actinomycetota; Actinomycetes; Kitasatosporales; Streptomycetaceae
Description: tRNA-Ala
Source: RNAcentral
CGGCGGCUCGGCCUGACCGCGCUGGCGGUGCUGGCGCUGCUGCUGGCGGUGUUCUUCUCGCUGGCCGUCGGC